Molecule: ribosomal RNA, 433 nt
Filed under: uncultured bacterium
Lineage: Bacteria
Description: partial 16S ribosomal RNA
Rfam family: Bacterial small subunit ribosomal RNA
Source: RNAcentral
AACGAACGCUGGCGGCAUGCCUAACACAUGCAAGUCGAACGAUCCCUUCGGGGAUUGUGUCGCACGGUUGCGUAACGCGUGGGAACCUUCCCUUAGGUUCGGACUAACUCAGAGAAAUUUGAGCUAAUACCGGAUAAUGUCUUCGGACCAAUGAUUUAUUGCCUUUGUUUGUGCCCGCGUUGGAUUCGCUAGUUGUUAGGGUAAUGGCAUACCCAGGCGACGAUCCAUAGCUGGUCUGAGAGGAUGAUCAGCGACACUGGGACUGAGACACGGCCGAGACUCCUACGGGAAGCAGCAGUGGGGAAUAUUGGACAAUGGGCGAAAGCCUGAUCCAGCAAUGCCGCGUGAGUGAUGAAGGUCGUAGGGUUGUAAAGCUCUUGUACCCGGGAUGAUAAUGACAGUACCGGGAGAAUAAGCCCCGGCUAACUCCGUG